Danio rerio (zebrafish) is the source of this 1646-nucleotide non-coding RNA. Lineage: Eukaryota; Metazoa; Chordata; Actinopteri; Cypriniformes; Danionidae. The record is from RefSeq and is a predicted model, not a curated record.
UUUGGAAAUGAUGGAGAAUCCCAUAAUUGUCUGUGGAGACUUCACCAAAGACCACCUCUUGUCUGGAAGAAAGCCCAUUCUGGAGUUGUUCCAAUCCCUACUAUACAAACAGCUCAUCUCCAUGGCCACCACAAAGAAAACGAACAUUGGCCUACGUCUUUGACAUGAAGUCAGUGUGCCACACAGAACCGGGAGACAAAAGACCUGGAUAGAGCCUGAUUAUCAGCCACUCGUCUUUUACUUGGUGGUGUGUGCACAGUUGCGUGAAGGCGGUGUGUCGUACCUGAGGUGGAUGCUGUGUGAUGAGAGUAGAGUAGGGUCAGCAGCAAGGGACAUCAGGAGGAUAUUGUGGCAUCUUCAAAGUUUACAAAGGGCAGUGACAGCAGCAACAGUUGUGGCAACGCUGGUUCGAGCCUCGGCUGGGUCAGUUGGUGUUUCUAUGUGGAGUUUGCAUGUUCUCCCUGCGUUCGAGUGGGUUUCCUCCGGUUGCUUCGACUUCUUCAACAGUCUAAAGACACGCGGAACAGGCACAGCUUUAACACAACAGCAGCCUUUUCAAAGUGGACAGAAUUCUUUGAGAUUCAAUCUAAAGCUAAGUAUUUUGUUUCAGUUGUUUGUACUGCCUUGUAAUACAGUCACAUUUUCAGCAUAAUGUUAAAUCUUAGUCUCAUUCAAGUGUUGUGUUUUUUUUAUGUUUUUACUACCAGAAGACCCAAGAAGAUGUGUUGACUGAGAAAACAAAUGUCCUGCAGUAUUGUUGAGGAAGACAUCUGCCUAACUAUAUAUUGGAGAAGACCAGGUGUAUGCGCACUACGGCAUUGCAGAAUGAUGGACCAGAGGAAGAACAUCUCUAAUACAGAGGUAUUCUGAAACAAGAGAAGACCAGGUGUUUGGCAUUGCACACCACAGAAUUGCAGGAUGACGGACCAGAGGAUAUACAGUCUGUGCAUGCCAGAUCCAGAGGCCAGAUGGUGGAAGACGGUGUCCUGCAACAUUUUAGAUAAUUUUAACGUUGUUUAAAAAUGUUAUUAGCUUAUACAUUUAAAAAAUGUUAUGUUAUGUGCCACGCCCAAGAAAGAUGGGUACUCCCUUGCUGAGUCUGGUCUUUCCAAGGUUUCUCUCCAAACUUUUUGGAGUUUUUUUCCUUGCCACAGUCGCCAAUGGCUUGCUCACAGGGGGUGUUGUGCCAAGUCCUGUCUUCCCCUCGUGUCCUUUAUCUUUAAACUUAGAUUCCAUAGUAAUUUAGCCAUACAAAUGUUAAUAAAAAGGAGCUUAAAAUUAAUUUAAAACAAGUAAAAAUAGGCUUAAGAGUACAAAUAAAGCUUAGUCAAUCAUAUCAUCACAAUUUAGGAUAUUUAUAUGCAGCUUAGGUUUGAAUAUAUUUGCCAUUAAUAAAUACUAAUGAGUAAAAUGUUUGCACCAUAAACUAUUAAUUGUUAUAAAUCAAUGUAACUUUUUUUUUCUCAGAUUAGAGCCGCAAAUUAUUUGCAGAAAGGGACAGUAGGUCAGGUAAAAAUUGAUUAUCAUCACAUAUGGCCAAAGUACAUUUUUACUUUAAACAACGUAAAAAAAGAAUAAAACCCAUUAGCAUUUAGAUCAGUUUCUUAGGGCACUUUAAUAUUAAUUAAUUAAUAAUAAUAAUAAUA